RNAcentral lists this transfer RNA (73 nucleotides) under Pseudomonadota bacterium. RNAcentral's name for it is "tRNA-Val". It matches the Rfam family "tRNA". From Rfam's summary of the family: Transfer RNA (tRNA) molecules are approximately 80 nucleotides in length. RNAcentral also lists the same sequence under 2 other names. Lineage: Bacteria; Pseudomonadati; Pseudomonadota. The record is from RNAcentral.
GGGCGGUUAGCUCAGCUGGUAGAGCACCUGCUUUACACGCAGGUGGUCGCAGGUUCGAGUCCUGCACCGCCCA